GUCGGCUAUGGUGACAUGUGCCCCAUCACGUUGGGGGGUAAGAUGGUUGGGAUCCUCUGUGCCAUCGCUGGCGUGCUGACCAUUGCGCUUCCUGUUCCCGUGAUCGUCUCUAAC
Danio rerio (zebrafish) is the source of this 114-nucleotide non-coding RNA. NCBI's taxonomy places the organism in Eukaryota, Metazoa, Chordata, Actinopteri, Cypriniformes, Danionidae. The record is from Rfam.